This 1119-nucleotide long non-coding RNA is filed under the name Canis lupus familiaris (dog). RNAcentral describes it as "lncRNA (ENSCAFG00030007735.1)". The record is from RNAcentral. Lineage: Eukaryota; Metazoa; Chordata; Mammalia; Carnivora; Canidae.
UCCACACCUGUCUCAGGUGCUCCCCUGCUUAAGAACCACGGAGGGCCUCCCGCCCACGUCCACGCUCCUCCCGAGAACACCGGAGCGCCACACGACCCAGCCCAAGCUCCCCUGCGCCCACCGGCCCUGCCCGCCCCGGGGACACCCGCUCGCCGCUCUGUUCCGGGCGCUCGGGUGCUCCCCUCCGCUUUCCCUAUUCCCCCGAAGCCUCCCCGGCUAACGGCUAACGGCAGCUUGAGGCUUCCCCUCCCACGGACGCCAAGUCAGGAAGCCUUCGGGCACUUGGCGCACUUUGCAGGUGUCGCUGUGCACGUGGCUUAUCUGGAGGCGCCCCCCCCCCUCCGCCCCAUCCUCCACCGCAGGGCCUGUGUGCGCGGCUGGCCUUUGCUAGACGCUGGCCGAGCGCACGCGUGUGCACAGGCUCGAGCGGUUCACCCGGAGAAAACGCCCGAGACCGCCGACCGCCCUGCAGGUGCAGAGAUACAGGCCUGUCUUCCAAACAAAACGGCUUUGGAAGAACCGGGGCGGCAGCCUGGGGAGAAGCUGCGGCAAGCACAGACACCCUGUCUCCUAACCAGCCACGCCCUGCGUAGACGCGGAGCCCAGCUCUGUAAAAUCUGGGACGGAGAGGGCGGGGGGAGGGCUCAGAUAUGUUGCCUUUCCAUUCUUUUUUUUUUUUUUAGAUUUUAUUUAUUUAUUCAUGAGAGACACAGAGAGAGGCAGAGACACAGGCAGAGGGAGAAGCAGGCUCCCUGCGGGGAGCCCAACGUGGGACUCGAUCCUGGGACCCCAGGGUCACGCCCUGAGCAGAAGGCAGACGCUCAACUGCUGAGCCCCCAGACGGCCGGCCCUUGCCUUUCCAUUCUUAAGAAAAAAGAUUUAGUAGGAAACGUGGCCAGUAAAUGUACAUUUGCAUGCUCCGUGGUGGGUGCUUGCUUAAUGAUGGAAAGAACGAUGACCUCCCAAAGGGCGGGCUUCGGGGUCGGAGAGGCCAGGGGCCGAGUCCUGGCUUUGUCACCCAUGAGCUGGGGGACCUCGGGCCAGCCCCAUCACUUCCCUGACUCUCCGCUUGCUCAGGGCCGAACAAGGCCCAGUCCUCAGGAUUGUCCCCGGGGCUAA